This 551-nucleotide ribosomal RNA is filed under the name uncultured Acaulosporaceae. Its description in RNAcentral is "SSU rRNA". It matches the Rfam family "Eukaryotic small subunit ribosomal RNA", at positions 548 to 1098 of the family's 1831-position model. The record is from RNAcentral. Lineage: Eukaryota; Fungi; Glomeromycota; Glomeromycetes; Diversisporales; Acaulosporaceae.
UUGGAGGGCAAGUCUGGUGCCAGCAGCCGCGGUAAUUCCAGCUCCAAUAGCGUAUAUUAAAGUUGUUGCAGUUAAAAAGCUCGUAGUUGAAUUUCGGGGUCUAUACGUUGGUCGGGCUUUUGGGUCUGUACUGGCGUAAUGAAUUCCUACCUUCUGAAUAACCAGCAUGUCAUUAAUUUGGUGCGCCGGGGAAGCAGGACUGUUACCUUGAAAAAAUUAGAGUGCUUAAAGCAGGCUAUUGCCUGAAUACAUUAGCAUGGAAUAAUGAAAUAGGACGGCAUGGUUCUAUUUUGUUGGUUUCUAGGAUCACCGUAAUGAUUAAUAGGGAUAGUUGGGGGCAUUAGUAUUCAAUUGUCAGAGGUGAAAUUCUUGGACUUAUUGAAGACUAACUUCUGCGAAAGCAUUUGCCAAGGAUGUUUUCAUUAAUCAAGAACGAAAGUUAGGGGAUCGAAGACGAUCAGAUACCGUCGUAGUCUUAACCAUAAACUAUGCCGACUAGGGAUCGGACGAUGUUAAUUUUUUAAUGACUCGUUCGGCGCCUUACGGGAAAC